AGCUCCAAUAGCGUAUAUUAAAGUUGUUGCAGUUAAAAAGCUCGUAGUUGGAUUUCGGAAUGGGCCAGUUGGUCCGCCGCAAGGUGAGUUACUGACUGGUUUGUUCUUCUUCGCAAAGACUGCGUGUGCUCUUUACUGAGUGUACGUAGGAUUUACGACGUUUACUUUGAAAAAAGUAGAGUGUUCAAAGCAGGCUAUCGCUUGAAUACAUGAGCAUGGAAUAAUGGAAUAGGACUUUGGUUCUAUUUUGUUGGUUUCUAGGACCGAAGUAAUGAUUAAGAGGGUCAAUUGGGGGCAUCCGUAUUUCGUUGUCAGAGGUGAAAUUCUUGGAUUUACGAAAGACGAACAACUGCGAAAGCACUUUCCAAGAGUGUUUGCA
Molecule: ribosomal RNA, 379 nt
Filed under: marine Metazoa environmental sample
Lineage: Eukaryota; Metazoa
Description: SSU rRNA
Rfam family: Eukaryotic small subunit ribosomal RNA
Source: RNAcentral